AACGAACGCUGGCGGCAGGCCUAAUACAUGCAAGUCGAGCGAGAAGACGUAGCAAUACGUUUGUAAAGCGGCGAACGGGUGAGGAAUACAUGGGUAACCUACCCUCGAGUGGGGAAUAACUAGCCGAAAGGUUAGCUAAUACCGCGUACGCUCCUUGGACUUCGGUUCAGGGAGGAAAGCGAUACCGUGGGUAUCGCGCUCUUGGAUGGGCUCAUGUCCUAUCAGCUUGUUGGNGAGGUAACGGCUCACCAAGGCUUCGACGGGUAGCUGGUCUGAGAGGACGAUCAGCCACACUGGCACUGCGACACGGGCCAGACUCCUACGGGAGGCAGCAGUAAGGAAUAUUGCGCAAUGGGCGAAAGCCUGACGCAGCGACGCCGCGUGGGGGAUGAAGGUCUUCGCUA
RNAcentral lists this ribosomal RNA (404 nucleotides) under uncultured bacterium. RNAcentral's name for it is "bacterial SSU rRNA". It matches the Rfam family "Bacterial small subunit ribosomal RNA", at positions 29 to 423 of the family's 1533-position model. The record is from RNAcentral.